GAAAUGCGAUAAGUAAUGUGAAUUGCAGAAUUCAGUGAAUCAUCGAAUCUUUGAACGCACCUUGCGCUCCUUGGUAUUCCGAGGAGCAUGCCUGUUUGAGUGUCAUGGAAUUCUCAACUCUAUUUGCUUUUGUGAAUAGAGCUUGGAUUUGGAGGUUUAUUGCUGGUACUUGUGAUCGGCUCCUAUUGAAUGCAUUAGCUCGAACCUUUGCGGAUCAGCUAUCGGUGUGAUAAUUGUCUACGCCGUUGCAGUGAAGCAUAUCAAUGGGCUCGGCUUCCAAUCGUCCUUUACUGGACAAUGACUUUGACCUUUGACCUCAAAUCAGGUAGGAUUACCCGCUGAACUUAAGC
This 350-nucleotide unclassified non-coding RNA is filed under the name plant metagenome. Its description in RNAcentral is "partial contains 5.8S ribosomal RNA, internal transcribed spacer 2, and large subunit ribosomal RNA". The stretch from base 1 to 105 matches the Rfam family "5.8S ribosomal RNA", at positions 50 to 154 of the family's 154-position model. The record is from RNAcentral.